GGCUAGGUGGCAGAAUGGUUCAUGCAAAAGAUUGCAAAUCUUAUAAUAUUGGUUCAAUUCCGAUUCUAGCUU
This 72-nucleotide transfer RNA is filed under the name Gelidium coulteri. RNAcentral's name for it is "tRNA-Cys". It matches the Rfam family "tRNA". From Rfam's summary of the family: Transfer RNA (tRNA) molecules are approximately 80 nucleotides in length. Their secondary structure includes four short double-helical elements and three loops (D, anti-codon, and T loops). Further hydrogen bonds mediate the characteristic L-shaped molecular structure. tRNAs have two regions of fundamental functional importance: the anti-codon, which is responsible for specific mRNA codon recognition, and the 3' end, to which the tRNAs corresponding amino acid is attached (by aminoacyl-tRNA synthetases). tRNAs cope with the degeneracy of the genetic code in two manners: having more than one tRNA (with a specific anti-codon) for a particular amino acid; and 'wobble' base-pairing, i.e. permitting non-standard base-pairing at the 3rd anti-codon position. RNAcentral also lists the same sequence under 2 other names. The record is from RNAcentral. Lineage: Eukaryota; Rhodophyta; Florideophyceae; Gelidiales; Gelidiaceae.